Molecule: ribosomal RNA, 432 nt
Filed under: uncultured bacterium
Lineage: Bacteria
Description: partial 16S ribosomal RNA
Rfam family: Bacterial small subunit ribosomal RNA
Source: RNAcentral
ACGAACGCUGGCGGCAUGCCUCACACAUGCAAGUCGAACGAUGCCUCCGGGCAUAGUGGCGCACGGGUGCGUAACGCGUGGGAAUCUGCCCUUGGGUUCGGAAUAACUCGCCGAAAGGCGAGCUAAUACCGGAUGAUGACGUAAGUCCAAAGAUUUAUCGCCCAAGGAUGAGCCCGCGUAGGAUUAGCUAGUUGGUGGGGUAAAGGCCCACCAAGGCGACGAUCCUUAGCUGGUCUGAGAGUAUGAUCAGCCACACUGGGACUGAGACACGGCCCAGACUCCUACGGGAGGCAGCAGUGGGGAAUAUUGGACAAUGGGCGAAAGCCUGAUCCAGCAAUGCCGCGUGAGUGAUGAAGGCCUUAGGGUUGUAAAGCUCUUUUACCCGGGAUGAUAAUGACAGUACCGGGAGAAUAAGCUCCGGCUAACUCCGUG